RNAcentral lists this ribosomal RNA (300 nucleotides) under uncultured Halobaculum sp. RNAcentral describes it as "bacterial SSU rRNA". The stretch from base 52 to 300 matches the Rfam family "Bacterial small subunit ribosomal RNA", at positions 547 to 795 of the family's 1533-position model. The record is from RNAcentral. Lineage: Archaea; Methanobacteriati; Methanobacteriota; Halobacteria; Halobacteriales; Haloferacaceae.
GGAGAUGCGGGGGCUGGUGCCGGUGGUGUCCGUAGGGGCCGGGGGUUGUCCGGAAUGAAUGUGCGGAAUGGGUGCGUAGGUGGGUAUGUGCGUCGGGGGUGAGAAGUCAGGGGUCAGCCCUGGGCGUGUAUCCGGGACGGGCGGAGGAGGGGUAUGCAGGGGAGAACGGAAGUCCUGGUGUGGCGGUGGGAUGCGGAGAUAUCAGGAGGAGCACCGGUGGCGAAGGCGGUUCUCUGGGCAUUACCUGACGCUGAGGAGCGAAGGCGUGGGGGGCGAACAGGAUUAGAUACCCGUGUAGUC